RNAcentral lists this ribosomal RNA (253 nucleotides) under uncultured bacterium. RNAcentral describes it as "partial 16S ribosomal RNA". It matches the Rfam family "Bacterial small subunit ribosomal RNA", at positions 524 to 776 of the family's 1533-position model. The record is from RNAcentral.
UACGGGGGGGGCAAGCGUUGUUCGGAAUUACUGGGCGUAAAGGGCUCGUAGGCGGCCAACUAAGUCGGACGUGAAAUCCCCAGGCUCAACCUGGGAACUGCGUCCGAUACUGGAUGGCUUGAAUUCGGGAGAGGGAUGCAGAAUUCCAGGUGUAGCGGUGAAAUGCGUAGAUAUCUGGAGGAACACCGGUGGCGAAGGCGGCAUCCUGGACCGACACUGACACUGAGGAGCGAAAGCCAGGGGAGCAAACGGG